Molecule: ribosomal RNA, 404 nt
Filed under: uncultured bacterium
Lineage: Bacteria
Description: bacterial SSU rRNA
Rfam family: Bacterial small subunit ribosomal RNA
Source: RNAcentral
UGAGGAAUGCGUCGGAAUCUACCCUAUGGUGGGGGAUAACACAGGGAAACUUGUGCUAAUACCGCAUGAUGUCGAGAGACCAAAGCAGGGGACCGCAAGGCCUUGCGCGAUAGGAUGAGCCGACGCCCGAUUAGCUAGUUGGUAGGGUAAAGGCCUACCAAGGCGACGAUCGGUAGCUGGUCUGAGAGGAUGAUCAGCCACACUGGGACUGAGACACGGCCCAGACUCCUACGGGAGGCAGCAGUGGGGAAUAUUGGACAAUGGGCGCAAGCCUGAUCCAGCAAUGCCGCGUGUGUGAAGAAGGCCUGCGGGUUGUAAAGCACUUUUGUUCGGGAAGAAAACGGAUCGGUUAAUACCCGGUUCGGAUGACGGUACCGAAAGAAUAAGCACCGGCUAACUUCGUG